RNAcentral lists this long non-coding RNA (763 nucleotides) under Mustela putorius furo (domestic ferret). Its description in RNAcentral is "lncRNA (ENSMPUG00000027492.1)". Lineage: Eukaryota; Metazoa; Chordata; Mammalia; Carnivora; Mustelidae. The record is from RNAcentral.
UCAGUUUCGAGUUCUAGGGAAUGACGUUUAUUAGUUCUUUGAUACAAUCUAGACUGGCCAUUCCGUUUUGGGGAACAAUCGGUGUUUCACUCGUCAGUCCGGAAAUUCUUCGCGGCAGCCGGCCUCCCCUUUGGUACCUCUUGAUCUGAUUAUAGCAACGGGUUGCACUUAAACUGGGAAACGGCUCACAAGUAGAAGUAGGAACAUGCAUUUGUUCUGGUUAGCUGUGUUUUUCCCCGGAACUCUGUGUUCUCAAGUCUGCAGUAAUUGCUUAAUCUCACGAAGGGGAGGUCGGCGGGCUGACUCGCAGCUACGGAGCUUCACGUGACUGGGAUAUAAACACCUGGGACGUACACAGGCGUCUAUCUCGUGGUGCUUUAUUAUGUCAGCAUGGAGGUCAGCAGGCAACCGGACUGUGAAGUUGAAACUUUGCAGAGAGACGACUUUUCUUGAAACGUCCAGUGGAGCCAAACGUUUCGACCUGUAGUUUAAAAAGCAUGGUCCUGGCACACGCCGUCGCCUACCGACAUCCUCUCUUUCUGUUACCAGCGUCCUGAUUCUAGUCAGCCUGCAACUAAGCGAACCUCACGUGAAGCCGGUUUGUCUACUCCAACGUGGCGAUCACGUCCCCUUGGCCAUUGAUUGGCUUAAGUGUGAUCCCGCUUACACCUGCUUGGAGCUGGGAGUCAGCACCUUGAAGGCUGCGAGGAGAAGGGUGAGCAAGUCAUGGAUUGUGGUGUGGCACAGGAUUGCUCAUGCUUGA